AUGUCUGGAAUUCCUUAUUUAUAUCCCAUGCAAAAGAAGAGAAUCCAAGGCAAAGGCGAGAACAAUAAAAUUAAAAUUUCUUCCUUUUCGGAGGGAUUUCACCCAUGGCACCUUCAUCCUCAGCAAGAAGUGAGUAGUUGGCAUUUCCGGUUUCCGAACAAAUGGAUACAAAUUGACCUUGUGGAUCCGAUGAUACCACGCCUGGGAGACUUUCAGAAGAAUAAGAAGAAGAAGGCGGAUUCAAUUCUUCAAGUAAAAGUCAAGGGCUACUGGCAGUUUCCUAUCAAUAACGAUCCUUUGAAGCUCACAUUAACCCGUCAAUUUUGGAUCCAAUUCGGGAUUUUUCUUGGGAAGUUUCGGGAAGAAAUUGGAAUGGAAUAA
This 381-nucleotide ribosomal RNA is filed under the name Triticum aestivum (bread wheat). Its description in RNAcentral is "partial small subunit ribosomal RNA". Lineage: Eukaryota; Viridiplantae; Streptophyta; Magnoliopsida; Poales; Poaceae. The record is from RNAcentral.